RNAcentral lists this microRNA precursor (87 nucleotides) under Pristionchus pacificus. RNAcentral describes it as "mir-2238 microRNA precursor family". It matches the Rfam family "mir-2238 microRNA precursor family". The record is from Rfam by way of RNAcentral. Lineage: Eukaryota; Metazoa; Nematoda; Chromadorea; Rhabditida; Neodiplogasteridae.
CUAGUCUUUUCUCUUCCCCGUUCACUCUUCUCGUCAGUCGAUGAUUGAAAUUCGAAUGACUGAACAGUGCGCGAGAAGGAAGACUAG